Molecule: ribosomal RNA, 630 nt
Filed under: Wollea saccata HSSASE12
Lineage: Bacteria; Bacillati; Cyanobacteriota; Cyanophyceae; Nostocales; Nostocaceae
Description: bacterial SSU rRNA
Rfam family: Bacterial small subunit ribosomal RNA
Source: RNAcentral
AUCCGGAAUGAUUGGGCGUAAAGGGUCUGUAGGUGGUGCUGUAAGUCUGCUGUUAAAGAGUCACGCUCAACGUGAUAAGAGCAGUGGAAACUACAGGACUAGAGUGCGUUCGGGGCAGAAGGAAUUCCUGGUGUAGCGAUGAAAUGCGUAGAUAUCAGGAAGAACACCGGUGGCGAACGGUUCUGCUAGGCCGCAACUGACACUGAGGGACGAAAGCUAGGGGAGCGAAUGGGAUUAGAUACCCCAGUAGUCCUAGCCGUAAACGAUGGAUACUAGGCGUGGCUUGUAUCGACCCGAGCCGUGCCGGAGCUAACGCGUUAAGUAUCCCGCCUGGGAGUACGCACGCAAGGUUGAAACUCAAAGGAAUUGACGGGGGCCCGCACAAGCGUGGAGUAUGUGGUUUAAUUCGAUGCAACCGAAGAACCUUACCAAGACUUGACAUGUCGCGAAUCUUUCUGAAAGGGAGAGUGCCUUCGGGAGCGCGAACACAGGUGGUGGCUAGGCUUCGUCCGAUCUGUUCGUGAAAUUUGGGUUAAGUCCCGCAACGAGCGCAACGCCUCGUUUGUUAGUUGCCAGCAUUAAGUUGGGCAGCUCUAGAGAGACUGCCGGUGACAAACCGGAGGAAGGUGA